Molecule: ribosomal RNA, 508 nt
Filed under: uncultured bacterium
Lineage: Bacteria
Description: partial 16S ribosomal RNA
Rfam family: Bacterial small subunit ribosomal RNA
Source: RNAcentral
AUUGAACGCUGGCGGCAUGCCUUACACAUGCAAGUCGAACGGCAGCGGGGGAGAAGCUUGCUUUUCCUGCCGGCGAGUGGCGAACGGGUGAGUAAUACAUCGGAACGUACCCUGACGUGGGGGAUAACACAUCGAAAGAUGUGCUAAUACCGCAUACGACCUGAGGGUGAAAGGGGGGGAUCGCAAGACCUCUCGCGUUUGGAGCGGCCGAUGUCGGAUUAGCUAGUUGGUGAGGUAAAGGCUCACCAAGGCGACGAUCCGUAGCUGGUCUGAGAGGAUGAUCAGCCACACUGGGACUGAGACACGGCCCAGACUCCUACGGGAGGCAGCAGUGGGGAAUUUUGGACAAUGGGGGCAACCCUGAUCCAGCCAUUCCGCGUGAGUGAAGAAGGCCUUCGGGUUGUAAAGCUCUUUCGGCAGGAACGAAAAGGUGGCUACUAAUACUAGCUGCUCAUGACGGUACCUGAAGAAGAAGCACCGGCUAACUACGUGCCAGCAGCCGCAGUAA